GUCCACGCCGUAAACGAUGAUAACUAGCUGUCGGGGGCCAUAGGCUUUCGGUGGCGCAGCUAACGCAUUAAGUUAUCCGCCUGGGGAGUACGGCCGCAAGGUUAAAACUCAAAGAAAUUGACGGGGGCCUGCACAAGCGGUGUAGCAUGUGGUUUAAUUCGAAGCAACGCGCAGAACCUUACCAGCGUUUGACAUCCCGAUCGCUGAUUCCAGAGAUGGAUUCCUUCAGUUAGGCUGGAUCGGUGACAGGUGCUGCAUGGCUGUCGU
RNAcentral lists this ribosomal RNA (267 nucleotides) under uncultured bacterium. RNAcentral describes it as "partial 16S ribosomal RNA". It matches the Rfam family "Bacterial small subunit ribosomal RNA", at positions 793 to 1055 of the family's 1533-position model. The record is from RNAcentral.